GGGCACAUAGCUCAGCCGGGAGAGCAUCUGGGUCACAACCAGAAGGUCGUGGGUUCGAGCCCCGCUGUGCCCA
Molecule: transfer RNA, 73 nt
Filed under: Bacillota bacterium
Lineage: Bacteria; Bacillati; Bacillota
Also listed under: 2 other names
Description: tRNA-Val
Rfam family: tRNA
About the family: Transfer RNA (tRNA) molecules are approximately 80 nucleotides in length. Their secondary structure includes four short double-helical elements and three loops (D, anti-codon, and T loops).
Source: RNAcentral